GAUGAAGAACGUAGCGAAAUGCGAUAAGUAAUGUGAAUUGCAGAAUUCAGUGAAUCAUCGAAUCUUUGAACGCACAUUGCGCCCGCCAGUAUUCUGGCGGGCAUGCCUGUCCGAGCGUCAUUUCAACCCUCGAACCCCUCCGGGGGGUCGGCGUUGGGGAUCGGCCCUUUACCGGCCGGCCCCGAAAUACAGUGGCGGUCUCGCCGCAGCCUCUCCUGCGCAGUAGUUUGCACACUCGCACCGGGAGCGCGGCGCAGUCCAAUGCCGUAAAACACCCAACUUUCUGAAAUGUUGACCUCGGAUCAGGCAGGAAUACCCGCUGAACUUAAGCAUAUCAAUAAGCGGAGGA
Molecule: unclassified non-coding RNA, 349 nt
Filed under: soil metagenome
Description: partial contains 5.8S ribosomal RNA, internal transcribed spacer 2, and large subunit ribosomal RNA
Rfam family: 5.8S ribosomal RNA (bases 1-120)
Source: RNAcentral